RNAcentral lists this non-coding RNA (201 nucleotides) under Oscillospiraceae bacterium. RNAcentral describes it as "6S RNA". It matches the Rfam family "6S / SsrS RNA". Rfam says of the family: E. coli 6S RNA was the first non coding RNA to be sequenced, but its function was unknown until recently. It consists of 184 nucleotides that fold into an extended hairpin structure with a large single-stranded internal bulge. Lineage: Bacteria; Bacillati; Bacillota; Clostridia; Eubacteriales; Oscillospiraceae. The record is from RNAcentral.
UAUCCCCUGCCCUGUGCGAGCAUUUCAGUUAAUAUAACCCAACACAUUUUUUCAUGGAGCCCUUCUCCGUUGGCGGAUUGCAGACCUCCCGGCUUGCCCCUGCGGCGAGUUGGAUGAAGGGAGCGAGAACCCAAAGGGUGGGCACCGACCUGCUUUCGUUGGGCAGGUUAUCAUUACUGAUUCCGGCCGGGUGGGGUCUAU